GUUUCUAUGUUUAGGGUUUGGGCAAACUGGUAUUUUCACUCUCAGGGGCUAGCUCCAUUUGUCUGGCCACUUUUCUGACUACAGUGUUGGGUAUUGCACCUUUACAACAAGGCUGUGAGGGCUGAGCACUCAGAGGCAAAGGCAGAGGCAGGGGGAUCCCUGAGUUCAAGGCUACCCAGGGCUACACAUUCCAUCUCAUCUUCAGCUCUACUGAAAGUUGACAGCUCAGUCUUGAAAACCCACAGCUCUGCUCCUGCUACCAGGAGGAUUCCUGCAUCCAUUUAUUGUAUCCUCCAUUCCAGACUGGGCUCCUAAACCAUGCCACGCCCUAUCUGGGCACCAGGGCUAACAAGAUGCAGAACUCUCAGCUCUCUCCAGCACCAUGUCUGCUUGCAUGCUGCCAUGCUUCUCCCCAUGGUGAUAAUGGACUUAACCUCUGAAACUGGCCCAAGAGGACAUUUAGUCCCAAGACAUGUUCAUGGGCAAAGCUUGCCAAUGUUGCAAGAAGCAGCUGCUGUAAGCAGGCAGGCUGCAGACCUUUGCACACAGCACUGCCUCUCAUAGGCAGGCAACUUAAGUUCUCACCGCCUAUGGGAAGCUGUGCUGUGCUGUCUGGAGCUGGCUGAGGCAAGGCAUGUGAGCUUGAGUGGAGCACGUGCAGGGCCACUGUCAUUAUGGAAAUCCUGACUCUGAAGGCUAAUUCUGUGUCUAAAUGAGUUGAAAUGAA
Molecule: long non-coding RNA, 727 nt
Filed under: Mus caroli (Ryukyu mouse)
Lineage: Eukaryota; Metazoa; Chordata; Mammalia; Rodentia; Muridae
Description: lncRNA (MGP_CAROLIEiJ_G0004712.1)
Source: RNAcentral